This 253-nucleotide ribosomal RNA is filed under the name uncultured bacterium. RNAcentral describes it as "partial 16S ribosomal RNA". It matches the Rfam family "Bacterial small subunit ribosomal RNA", at positions 524 to 776 of the family's 1533-position model. The record is from RNAcentral.
UACGGAGGGUGCGAGCGUUGUCCGGAAUCACUGGGCGUAAAGGGCGCGUAGGCGGCCAUUCAAGUCGGGGGUGAAAGCCUGUGGCUCAACCACAGAACUGCCUUUGAUACUGAGGAUCUUGAGUUCGGGAGAGGUGAGUGGAACUGCGAGUGUAGAGGUGAAAUUCGUAGAUAUUCGCAAGAACACCAGUGGCGAAGGCGGCUCACUGGCCCGAUACUGACGCUGAGGUGCGAAAGCGUGGGGAGCAAACAGG